CUUUAUUUACUGUAUAGUUACUUUCUCACUUUGAAAGCUUAUUUUCUCUCUUUGAAAGCUUUCUCACUUUGAAAGGUUAUUUUCUCACUUUGAAACUUUCCUCACAUAAACUUUGAUGACAUAGAGUAGUGCUCACAGCUGUGAUUGGGCACUCCGCAAACCUGAAAAACCUAAUUUUGAACUCAGUUUAUGUAUUCCAGUCUUCCACCACAAAUACACUGCAUGUGACAAAUUUGAAGAAUAUUGUAUCAGUGAACUGGUUGCUUUUUUGUUUUUCAUUUGUAAAAAAUAUUAUGCCUAAAUUAUGUCAUAUAUAAAAUUAAUAACACCUCAUGAAAUAAGGCAAGGAGUUGGAAUAAAGUACUUCUUUAUGAUGCUUAUAGUUUGCACAUAAAGGUAAGUUAUCUGAUGUCAUUUUUAAUAUGUGAUUAUAAAAAUUAUUUUUUUGGGAAAUUGGCCUAUUGAAGUAACUCCCUCAGGAUGCACAGUUUACUUUUCAAACCACUCUUUCCCCAUUAGAACUAUCUCUGGUAACUGCCUUGGCAAAAGAGUCUUCAUCGCCAGGUGAAUAUGUAUUCAGAAACACAACUCAUGGUAGUUAUUUUUAGAUGAUUGUGAAAAUAAUAAUUUUUCUUUAUUUUCUUUUUUUGAUGUUCAUGGUGGAUUUUAUUGGAAGACAGUAAGGAAGCAGCCUAUAUAAGGGAAGCUUACUUCAUAAUUUAAUGUAAAAUUUUUUAAUCUACUUUAUAAGUGUCAGUGCUAUUAAUGGACAUCAUAACCUGCCAUGUAUUGUUUUUUCUAUGUUUAAAUAGUCAAGAAGAAUAAGUACCACUUGCUUUUUUUAUUUGGUGUCUUUGUUUUUUCUUCUUUUCUUCUCUCUCUCUCUCUCUCUCUCUAUCUCUUUCUUCCUUCCUUCCAACAGAGUUGCAUUUUGUUGGCCAGGCUGAAGUGCAAUGGCAUGAUCUCGGCUCAUGGUAACUUUUACCUCUUGGGUUUAGGUGACUCUGCUGCCCCAGUCUCCUAAGUAACUGGUAUUCCAGGCACCAGCAAGCAUGCCUAACUAUUGUAUGUAUUUUUAGCAAAGAUGAGGUUUUAUCAUGUUGGCCAGGCUUGUCUCAAAUCCCUGACCUCUGAAAAUUUACUGAUACCAUCCUCCCAAACUUUGGGAGGUUAGCCACAGAAACUGGCCCAGAUAGAUUGAUCUUAAUAUAACAACCCAAAAAUAAAUGUUAUAGUUCAGAUUUGGUAGAUAUAUUUAAAAGUGAAAUAUUCUGUAUUUGGGAAUUAAAUGUGAUAGUACAUACAUUCAUAUUAAUUUAUUUAUACAUUUAGAAAUGUUUCAAAAAGGUAUAGGCAGUAUACGCAGAAGUACUCAAGAAGCCAGAAACACACAUGUGCAGUGCUAAGUGUCCAUGCCUGCUUCUGCCAGUGGCUAGAAGUAGAAGUCCUGCUACAUCAUGAGACUCUGGACCUGCGUUUGUAAAAUAAAAGGCUGUGAGCAGUUGCAGGCCCAGUGACAUGUGCUGCUUAUGCCGCUUUAUAUUCUUAUAUUUUCUUUCCUCAGAUUGUAAAGUGUUGAUGCCCAUACUUGUACAAAGUUGUAAGGCACUACUUAGGAUAGUAGUCAAAGCAAAGCUUGGAUUACAUUAACAUUUCCACCUGUUCUUCUAGAUGCUUGAAAGGCCUCUGUUUAAGGCAAUGGAGAAAUCCAGCAGACCAUGAAUACACACUCAUGACAACACAGUGCACAAACUAAGAUGAUGUCCUACCAUAUUAUGUAUAAUCCAGAUGGCUGUGAUGAAGGCCAGCCAGGAGCUCCUGCGUGAGUGAUGGCAGGAAGACAUGACUCAGCUGCACCACAGUGGUACCCUGAAAAUAGCCUUUCCUCCAGGCUGGUGAAGAUGAGAAAAUUAUUCUCUUGGAGGCUGCCUGACAUGAUUGCUGAAUGAGCUGGAUUACUUUGCAACACUUGAAAGGUGCUAAUAAUAAGACCAUGCCCGUGUACAAAAUAAAGUAAGAAAUAUUUUUCUA
This is a long non-coding RNA of Callithrix jacchus (white-tufted-ear marmoset), 2031 nucleotides long. RefSeq lists it as uncharacterized. The record is from RefSeq and is a predicted model, not a curated record. Lineage: Eukaryota; Metazoa; Chordata; Mammalia; Primates; Cebidae.